AUACGUAAUGUGCAGAAUUCAGCGAACCAUCGAAUCUUUGAACGCACAUUGCGCCCGCCAGCAUUCUGGCGGGCAUGCCUGUCCGAGCGUCAUUUCCCCCCUCACGCGCCCCGUUGCGCGCUGGUGUUGGGGCGCCCUCCGCCUGGCGGGGGGCCCCCGAAAGCGAGUGGCGGGCCCUGUGGAAGGCUCCGAGCGCAGUACCGAACGCAUGUUCUCCCCUCGCUCCGGACGCCCCCCAGGCGCCCUGCCGUGAAAACGCGCAUGACGCGCAGCUCUUUUUACAAGGUUGACCUCGGAUCAGGUAGGACUACCCGCUGAACUUAAGCAUAUCAAUAAGCGGAGGAAU
Molecule: unclassified non-coding RNA, 346 nt
Filed under: Sporothrix schenckii
Lineage: Eukaryota; Fungi; Ascomycota; Sordariomycetes; Ophiostomatales; Ophiostomataceae
Description: sequence contains 18S rRNA gene, ITS1, 5.8S rRNA gene, ITS2, 28S rRNA gene
Rfam family: 5.8S ribosomal RNA (bases 1-92)
Source: RNAcentral